GGCUCCAUAGCUCAGGGCUUAGAGCACUGGCUCUGGAAACCAGGGGUCGCAGGUUAAUAUCUCGCUGGGGCCU
Molecule: transfer RNA, 73 nt
Filed under: Lepisosteus oculatus (spotted gar)
Lineage: Eukaryota; Metazoa; Chordata; Actinopteri; Semionotiformes; Lepisosteidae
Rfam family: tRNA
About the family: Transfer RNA (tRNA) molecules are approximately 80 nucleotides in length. Their secondary structure includes four short double-helical elements and three loops (D, anti-codon, and T loops).
Source: Rfam by way of RNAcentral